Molecule: ribosomal RNA, 504 nt
Filed under: uncultured bacterium
Lineage: Bacteria
Description: bacterial SSU rRNA
Rfam family: Bacterial small subunit ribosomal RNA
Source: RNAcentral
AUUGAACGCUGGCGGCGUGCCUAACACAUGCAAGUCGAGCGGCAGCGCGGGGAGCAAUCCUGGCGGCGAGCGGCGGACGGGUGAGUAACGCUUGGGAAUCUGCCUGUUAGUGGGGGACAACCCGGGGAAACUCGGGCUAAUACCGCAUACGCACUACGGUGGAAAGCCGGGGACCGCAAGGCCUGGCGCUAACAGAUGAGCCCAAGUCGGAUUAGCUAGUUGGUAGGGUAACGGCCUACCAAGGCGACGAUCCGUAACUGGUCUGAGAGGACGACCAGUCACACCGGAACUGAGACACGGUCCGGACUCCUACGGGAGGCAGCAGUGGGGAAUAUUGGACAAUGGGGGAAACCCUGAUCCAGCGACGCCGCGUGGGUGAAGAAGGCCUGCGGGUUGUAAAGCCCUCUCAGUGGGGGAAGAAAAGCCUCGACCUAACACGUCGGGGUCUUGACGUAACCCCAUGGAAGAAGCACCGGCUAACUCUGUGCCAGCAGCCGCGGUAAG